GACAGAGGGUGCAAUCGUUGCUCGGAAUCACUGGGCGUAAAGGGCGUGUAGGCGGGAGAGAAAGUCGGGCGUGAAAUCCCUGGGCUCAACCCAGGAACUGCACUCGAAACUUCCCUUCUUGAGUGCCGGAGAGGAAAGCGGAAUACCUGGUGUAGAGGUGAAAUUCGUAGAUAUCAGGUGGAACACCAGUGGCGAAGGCGGCUUUCUGGACGGUAACUGACGCUGAGACGCGAAAGCGUGGGGAGCAAACAGG
RNAcentral lists this ribosomal RNA (253 nucleotides) under uncultured bacterium. RNAcentral's name for it is "partial 16S ribosomal RNA". It matches the Rfam family "Bacterial small subunit ribosomal RNA", at positions 524 to 776 of the family's 1533-position model. The record is from RNAcentral.